GUGAGGAAGGGGGUGACCGAGUGAGGAAGGGGGUUACACAGUGACAGAGUGAGGGAGGGGGUGACUAGUGACAAAGUGAAAGAGGUGGUGACUGUCACUAGUCACCCCAUCCUUCCCUCUGUCACUAAUCACCACCUCCCUCACUCUGUCACUAGUCACCCCUUCCCUCCCUCACUCUGUCACUAGUCACCCCCUCCCUCUCUCUGUCACUAGUCAGCCCCACCCUCUCUCUGUCACUAGUCACACCCUCUCUCACUCUGUCACUAAUCACACCCUCCCUCAC
Pelobates cultripes (western spadefoot toad) is the source of this 283-nucleotide non-coding RNA. Lineage: Eukaryota; Metazoa; Chordata; Amphibia; Anura; Pelobatidae. The record is from the annotation of a GenBank genome assembly.